GACAGUAGCUCGAGGACACUUAUUCCCUAAGCGAGAAUCCUUGACUUUCACGACGCCUGAACCAGUGGGACCGCCCCAUCAUGAGCUGUGAACCUCCAGAUGAAUAAAGGAGAGGAAGGAAAUGAGAAGGAACAUGACUUCCCUGCUGUUGACAUGCCUGGUGCCUACCCAAAUUGUAAUCGGGCCCCCAUUAUUGGC
Lepus europaeus (European hare) is the source of this 198-nucleotide long non-coding RNA. RefSeq lists it as uncharacterized. The transcript has 3 exons. The record is from RefSeq and is a predicted model, not a curated record. NCBI's taxonomy places the organism in Eukaryota, Metazoa, Chordata, Mammalia, Lagomorpha, Leporidae.